This 491-nucleotide ribosomal RNA is filed under the name uncultured bacterium. Its description in RNAcentral is "partial 16S ribosomal RNA". It matches the Rfam family "Bacterial small subunit ribosomal RNA", at positions 29 to 507 of the family's 1533-position model. The record is from RNAcentral.
AUGCACGCUAGCUACAGGCUUCACCCCUGCCAGUCGCGGGGAAACGGCAUCGAAAGCUUGCUUUUGAUGGGCGUCGACCGGCGCACGGGUGAGUAACGCGUAUCCAACCUGCCCAUCACUUGGGAAUAACCUUGCGAAAGUAAGACUAAUGCCCAAUGACAUCCCACGAAGGCAUCCGAAUGGGAUUAAAGAUUUAUCGGUGAUGGAUGGGGAUGCGUCUGAUUAGCUUGUUGGCGGGGUGACGGCCCACCAAGGCAACGAUCAGUAGGGGUUCUGAGAGGAAGGUCCCCCACAUUGGAACUGAGACGCGGUCCAAACUCCUACGGGAGGCAGCAGUGAGGAAUAUUGGUCAAUGGGCGAGAGCCUGAACCAGCCAAGUAGCGUGCAGGAUGACGGCCCUAUGGGUUGUAAACUGCUUUUAUAAGGGAAUAAAGUGGGUCACGUGUGACUUUUUGCAUGUACCUUAUGAAUAAGGACCGGCUAAUUCCGUG